GUGAGAGACCACUAUGAUGACACACCAAAUGUGUUUGAUCGAUCCCGGGAAAAGCGCAGGAAUAGGCUUUUGUAGGCUACAGUCCAAAGUAUGUCUUCCAACGGUGUGACGGCUGUCGGCAUCCAAAGAUUAUUCAACUUGAAUAAACGCUUCGAGGACAAUGACCCAACACACCUCCAGGCUGUGUACAGCUAUGUGACCAAGAAGGAGAGUGACGGAGUGCUUCAUCAGAUGACCUGGCAUCCACAAUCACCUGACUUCUACCCAAUUGAGAUGGUUUGGGAUGAGUUGGACCGCAGAGUGAAGGAAAAGCAUCCAACAAGUGCUCAGCAUAUGUGGGAACUCCUUCAAGACUGUUUGAAAAGCAUUCCUCAUGAAGCUGGUUGAGAGAAUGCCAAGAGUGUGCAAAGCUGUCAUCAGGGUAAAGGGCUACUUUCAAAAAUCUCAAAUGUAAAAUAUAUUUUGAUUUGUUUAACACUUUUUUGCUUACUACAUGAUUCUACAUGUGCUAUUUCAUAGUUUUGAUGUCUUCACUAUUAUUCUACAAUGUAGAAAAUAGUAAAAUAAAGAAAAACCCUUGAAUGAG
Salvelinus fontinalis (brook trout) is the source of this 586-nucleotide long non-coding RNA. RefSeq lists it as uncharacterized. The record is from RefSeq and is a predicted model, not a curated record. Lineage: Eukaryota; Metazoa; Chordata; Actinopteri; Salmoniformes; Salmonidae. The transcript has 2 exons.